This 1276-nucleotide ribosomal RNA is filed under the name Ditylenchus environmental sample. Its description in RNAcentral is "SSU rRNA". It matches the Rfam family "Eukaryotic small subunit ribosomal RNA", at positions 86 to 1372 of the family's 1831-position model. Lineage: Eukaryota; Metazoa; Nematoda; Chromadorea; Rhabditida; Anguinidae. The record is from RNAcentral.
ACUGCGAACGGCUCAUUAUAACAGCUAUAAUCUACUUGAUCUUGACAUAUCCUACUUGGAUAACUGUGGUAAUUCUAGAGCUAAUACAUGCACUAAAGCCCUGACCUCACGGAAAGGGUGCAUUUAUUAGAACAAAACCAAGCCGCUUGCGGUUUAUUUGUUGACUCAGAAUAACUCAGCUGAUCGCAUGGUCUUGUACCGGCGACGUGUCUUUCGAGUAUCUGCCUUAUCAACUUUCGAUGGUAGUGUAUUUGACUACCAUGGUGGUGACGGGUAACGGAGGAUAAGGGUUCGACUCCGGAGAAGGCGCCUGAGAAAUGGCGACUACGUCUAAGGAUGGCAGCAGGCGCGCAAAUUACCCACUCUCAGAAUGAGGAGGUAGUGACGAGAAAUAACGAGACCGUUCUCUACGAGGCCGGUCAUCGGAAUGGGUACAAUCUAAACCCUUUAACGAGUAUCUAUGAGAGGGCAAGUCUGGUGCCAGCAGCCGCGGUAAUUCCAGCUCUCAAAAUGCAUAGAAUUAUUGCUGCGGUUAAAAAGCUCGUAGUUGGAUCUGUGCUAGGGACUUGGUCCAUCUUCGGAUGCGUACUGAGCUCCCUUGCUUUUCUGCCGGUUUUCCCAGCAUGGCUUUUACCGGCUGUGUUGGGUGGCUGGUGAUUUUACUUUGAACAAAUCAGAGUGCUUCAAACAGGCGUUUCGCUUGUAUGUUUUUGCAUGGAAUAAUAGAAGAGGAUCUCGGUUCUAUUUUAUUGGUUUUAUAGACCGAAAUAAUGGUUAACAGAGACGAACGGGGGCAUUAGUACUUUUGCGCUAGAGGUGAAAUUCUUGGACCGCAGAAAGACUAACUACAGCGAAAGCAUUUGCCAAGAACGUCUUCAUUAAUCAAGAACGAAAGUCAGAGGUUCGAAGGCGAUCAGAUACCGCCCUAGUUCUGACCGUAAACGAUGCCAACUAGCGAUCUACCGGUGGAAUAUUCGCCCUGGUAGGGAGCUUCCCGGAAACGAAAGUCUUCGGGUUCCGGGGGAAGUAUGGUUGCAAAGCUGAAACUUAAAGGAAUUGACGGAAGGGCACCACCAGGAGUGGAGCCUGCGGCUUAAUUUGACUCAACACGGGAAAACUCACCCGGCCCGGACACUGUAAGGAUUGACAGAUUGAUAGCUUUUUCAUGAUUCGGUGGAUGGUGGUGCAUGGCCGUUCUUAGUUCGUGGAGCGAUUUGUCUGGUUUAUUCCGAUAACGAGCGAGACUCUAGCCUGCUAAAUAGUCUGCACAUUCCUA